RNAcentral lists this non-coding RNA (132 nucleotides) under Muribacter muris. RNAcentral's name for it is "Actinobacillus muris MoCo sequence". It matches the Rfam family "Molybdenum/Tungsten riboswitch aptamer (Moco RNA motif)". The record is from Rfam by way of RNAcentral. Lineage: Bacteria; Pseudomonadati; Pseudomonadota; Gammaproteobacteria; Pasteurellales; Pasteurellaceae.
GCUAUUUUCCGACUCCGAGCCUGUUUUCCUAAGUCGUCAGAUAUGGAAACUGUGCCUGUAACGCUGUUACACAGGGAUUGCCGAGAAAUGGGCCGUCCUCUCCCUUUAGAAAGGUGUCAAAUGCAAAGUAUC